UCCUACGGGAGGCAGCAGUAGGGAAUCUUCCGCAAUGGACGAAAGUCUGACGGAGCAACGCCGCGUGAGUGAUGAAGGCUUUCGGGUCGUAAAACUCUGUUGUUAGGGAAGAACAAGUGCUAGUUGAAUAAGCUGGCACCUUGACGGUACCUAACCAGAAAGCCACGGCUAACUACGUGCCAGCAGCCGCGGUAAUACGUAGGUGGCAAGCGUUAUCCGGAAUUAUUGGGCGUAAAGCGCGCGCAGGUGGUUUCUUAAGUCUGAUGUGAAAGCCCACGGCUCAACCGUGGAGGGUCAUUGGAAACUGGGAGACUUGAGUGCAGAAGAGGAAAGUGGAAUUCCAUGUGUAGCGGUGAAAUGCGUAGAGAUAUGGAGGAACACCAGUGGCGAAGGCGACUUUCUGGUCUGUAACUGACACUGAGGCGCGAAAGCGUGGGGAGCAAACAGGAUUAGAUACCCUGGUAGUCCACGCCGUAAACGAUGAGUGCUAAGUGUUAGAGGGUUUCCGCCCUUUAGUGCUGAAGUUAACGCAUUAAGCACUCCGCCUGGGGAGUACGGCCGCAAGGCUGAAACUCAAAUGAAUUGACGG
Molecule: ribosomal RNA, 589 nt
Filed under: uncultured bacterium
Lineage: Bacteria
Description: bacterial SSU rRNA
Rfam family: Bacterial small subunit ribosomal RNA
Source: RNAcentral